GUAGCUGAAGGGGAAGUAGUGUCUCUGAGAGCUCUGUGAAGAAGCUUGGGGAGCAAUCCACAGCAGGAAGCAAAGUGGGGAAGCUAUGGAAGCCCCUGAGAGAUGGUGGCUACAUCACAGCCAGGUGCAGAGCUGACGGUGCGGAGCCAAAGUCCAAAACAAGUUCAUAUGGCACUGUCACAAUCGCAUCCAGUUCUUGUCAAAUCCAACAUAUUACCUGAGCUAGGCUGCACUCCACCUCACAUCCCAACUGGGCCACGCUUAGCUGUUACACUUGGUUACUUCACAGUCACAUCAGGCCUUUCUCCAGGAGAAGGAAGAAGAGAUGGAGACAGAGAUGAUGGCCAGCAAGGAGGCUGUCCACAAAGACACACCUGGAGCUACCUGGAAGACAGUCACUGCAUGCUCCAGGAAACAGAGGGCCAUAGCUGCUCCUCCUCUGGCCCUGCACAACAGGUAUGCUCCCCUC
This is a long non-coding RNA of Alligator mississippiensis (American alligator), 469 nucleotides long. RefSeq lists it as uncharacterized. The transcript is spliced from 3 exons. The record is from RefSeq and is a predicted model, not a curated record. NCBI's taxonomy places the organism in Eukaryota, Metazoa, Chordata, Crocodylia, Alligatoridae.